GGGGGAUAUUGCACAAUGGGGGAAACCCUGAUGCAGCGACGCCGCGUGGAGGAAGAAGGUUUUCGGAUUGUAAACUCCUGUCGUUAGGGACGAUAAUGACGGUACCUAACAAGAAAGCACCGGCUAACUACGUGCCAGCAGCCGCGGUAAAACGUAGGGUGCAAGCGUUGUCCGGAAUUACUGGGUGUAAAGGGAGCGCAGGCGGACCGGCAAGUUGGAAGUGAAAACUAUGGGCUCAACCCAUAAAUUGCUUUCAAAACUGCUGGCCUUGAGUAGUGCAGAGGUAGGUGGAAUUCCCGGUGUAGCGGUGGAAUGCGUAGAUAUCGGGAGGAACACCAGUGGCGAAGGCGACCUACUGGGCACCAACUGACGCUGAGGCUCGAAAGCAUGGGUAGCAAACAGGAUUAGAUACCCUGGUAGUCCAUGCCGUAAACGAUGAUUACUAGGUGUUGGAGGAUUGACCCCUUCAGUGCCGCAGUUAACACAAUAAGUAAUCCACCUGGGGAGUACGACCGCAAGGUUGAAACUCAAAGGAAUUGACGGGGGCCCGCACAAGCAGUGGAGUAUGUGGUUUAAUUCGAAGCAACGCGAAGAACCUUACCAGGUCUUGACAUCCGAUGCAUAGUGCAGAGAUGCAUGAAGUCCUUCGGGACAUCGAGACAGGUGGUGCAUGGUUGUCGUCAGCUCGUGUCGUGAGAUGUUGGGUUAAGUCCCGCAACGAGCGCAACCCUUAUUGCCAGUUACUACGCAAGAGGACUCUGGCGAGACUGCCGUUGACAAAACGGAGGAAGGUGGGGAUGACGUCAAAUCAUCAUGCCCUUUAUGACCUGGGCUACACACGUACUACAAUGGCGUUUAACAAAGAGAAGCAAGACCGCGAGGUGGAGCAAAACUCAAAAACAACGUCUCAGUUCAGAUUGCAGGCUGCAACUCGCCUGCAUGAAGUCGGAAUUGCUAGUAAUCGCGGAUCAGCAUGCCGCGGUGAAUACGUUCCCG
Molecule: ribosomal RNA, 996 nt
Filed under: uncultured bacterium
Lineage: Bacteria
Description: bacterial SSU rRNA
Rfam family: Bacterial small subunit ribosomal RNA
Source: RNAcentral